Molecule: long non-coding RNA, 2237 nt
Filed under: Dromaius novaehollandiae (emu)
Lineage: Eukaryota; Metazoa; Chordata; Aves; Casuariiformes; Dromaiidae
Description: lncRNA (ENSDNVG00000002472.1)
Source: RNAcentral
ACCAGCUGAACUGCACGAUGCUCAUCUGUUGCAGUCCUUAAAAGGGCUUGUUAAUCAGUCCGCUGUUAUUUAAUUAUCUCCACAGUUAUCUAAGGCCUGACCCAAACACAAGGGUAAUAAUAAACUGGCACCAUCUGUUAGCAGUAUGAAAUUGGAGUUUAAUAGAUCGGGUGGCAUCUGCAUGUUAGUGAAGCUGGKGAAACCUUUAGGUGCCAAACUCGGACCUCGCAGAGGUUACCAAACCUCAGCCUAACCAAAUGCUAUUUAAAACAGCUUUCUGUAGAUCAACUGCAGCUGCGUUUACAGCCGAGAUUUAACCACAGCAAGCUUUUUUCCUAUCUACAGCGCUGGUGUAGGCUCUUUCCAAAGAYACUCUGUGGUAUUAAUGUUUUCCCCUGUGCCCGCAGGCUCUGGCUGGGGGCCCCCAGGGCCGUGCCGGCACAGAGCAUCUGGUUCUGGCACAGCUGGAGCAGCUGCGGGAAACUGCUGGAGGCAGAAGUGGGCUUGCGGAGAGCAAGCGCAAAGCAGAGCUGGGCUUGGGCAGGCCUUGCUGCGAGCGAGCCUUGYGCUGGCCCACGAGAGGGUGCUGGUGGCUCGGGCUGACGCGGAGAGGGACCGGCUGCCAAACCCCCUUGGGAGCAGGUGCCUCGUCUGCAAUCUAUUAUAAAUCAGUUUGGAAACUAAGGAAUAAAGGCACGUCUAGCUCUUUCUCCAGCUGGCUUUUACCUGUCCGGAGAAGGGGCUGCGCUUGGGGAGCGCUCUGGAGUCCUGGGUGUGGGGAUACUCUCGGAGAGGCCCCUUGGCYGCAGCGUGGGGCUCCUCUCCCACCCGUGCAGCAAGGGGCCCUCUGGAAAUGCAGGGCUUUUCCUUGGCUCUCCCCCCAAGACUGUUUUAAGGAGAGAUACAAGGUAUAAUGGGCUUUUUUGGGAGUUAAAGAGCAUCCUCUGGAGCAUCAAGCCAGGCAGAGCCAAGCCCAGGUGCCCCCAGGCCCCCAAGCGCGGCAGCGGGGAGGAGGGCGGCGUUCCCUCCCUGCAGCCCGGAGAAGGAUGAGCAGCCGGACGCCGGCGGAGCGAGAGCGGAGCCUCCCAACACCCAUCUUCCCGGUACCCAUUUGAACCCGCGGAGCCGUACGGAGGAGCGCAGCGCCCGUGCUGCCUCGGGAGCGAAGAGGAGGGGAUGCGGCCGAGAYGCGGCAGGCGGGGGCGGCCGGGGGGUCCUCCCCGCUGAAGGGGGGCUGCCGGGGGACAGGAGCGGAAAGGAGCCAGCGCGGGCGCAGCUGGACCGAGGAGGCAGCGCCGUAAGAGCGAAGGGGCGGCAGGACACCGGGGGCUGCGGGAAGGUGGCCCAGGCCGGGGGGGGGGGGGGGAAGCACAUAUAUAUAUGUAUGAGUAUAUAUAUAUGUUUUUUAUUCUUUUUAUUUUUCUUAGCAACUUCCGAAGGAAAGUUGCAAGCGGGUCUUGCAGCACCGUGCAGGAAAGCGUUGCCCGAGGCUUCGGUCCAGGCAAAAGCGGAGGCUUUGAAGCAGCAUCGGGGAGGCUCCGCCGGGGGAGCCGCGAGCCCGCUUUCCCCGGCGGGAGCAGAGGCCGCCGCACUCAUCACACUGCAGCGUGGAAAUUGCCGCAGCUCUCUCCGCUCUCCGUGACGGCCGAGGGAGCAAUCGCGCCGCCGCCGUCGUCCGGCUCAUGACGGAGGCGCCGAGGCAGCCGGCAGCCAGCCCCGCUCUCCCGCCCGGAGCAUCCCGUCGCCGCYGGCCUUUCCCCCCGCGCAGGUGAGAGCCGGGGCUACGGGCCACGAAGGAGCCGGGCUCGCCRCGAUCAGGCACCGUCGCCGCCCUCCGCGAGCUCUCGGGAAAGCCGGCCGGCGUUGCGCUGGCGGUUUAAUUCCCGGGCGCUGCAGUCGCUCGGCUUCUCCCCGGGGGAGGCCGCGGAAAGCUGCCGAGGCCGUCGCUGCUCCGUAGAGCUCCGUAUGGCAAUUUAGCGGAAAAGCUUGGAAAGAAGCAGGGUGCCUUUCAGAGGAGUAAGUUUAAAAGGAAUGUGGGCCACACGUGAACUGAGUUUAGCCCGUUCUCAGCCUUUAGCGAGUGUUUAUCCAAGGGAAGAGGCUGAGGGGCGAGAUGGGCAGAGCUGAGCUGGCGCUUCUAAGCUUUACUGCGGCCCGGUUAUCAUCUCGGCAUCAUUAGUGACACUAUCACAGCCAAAACCSCACUCUGGGGAUUACGUGGUUGGACCGAUUAGGCU